UAGGAAGUUUAGUUUAUAACCCCUUUGGAUAGUCCGAUCAUCGUUUCUGCGUCUUUAAAAACACGUUUCGUUAUGAAAUAAAAGUGCCAAUGAAGUACAAUCAAUAAAUAAAUGAAGUGAAUCACGCAUCACAGAAAAUGUUGACAGUAAAAUUAAAUUCAGCAUUGUCGACCGGUGCGGUGAAUAGAGUAAAAUUAAGUUUUCUCUCUGCUAAAUUACGUGCAACACAACAGAAUGGUAGGAGGUUUGCCAACAGUAAUCUCAUGUGUGCAGGUCACGUUGACACGGGAUUCAAUGAAUCUGUGAGUGAACGUGCCAGAAGAGUUGCUACAAACAAUUUGUUCAUUGGUUCUAGUGCUCAGAAAGUUUCUCUGCGCUUAGCAUCUUCGGAAACUCUUCCUGUGACAGACUUUCAGGAGAAGGCUGAUAUCUUUGGCGACCUGUCCAAUGACAAGUAUGAUAAAAUUGAAAUGGAUGAGGCCGAAUUGAAAGAGGAGGAAUUUUUAAUGAAAGAAGCUAGACCGCGUCGUUCAUCUGUGCCUAGUCCUGGAAGAUAUGCAGAUAUGAUAAAGAAACAUAUUCAAUCAGGGCAUUUAGAUGCCGCUGUUGCUGUUCUUGACCAAGUGAAGCAAGAUCGCCAGAAGCCAAAUGCUUAUAUGUAUAAUUUAUUAAUAAGAGCCUUUGCUGUUCGCGGCAAUGUCAAAAAAUGUUACACUCUUUAUAAUCAAAUGAAAAAACAAGGAUUGAAACCAACCUCACCCACGUAUGUCAGCUUGAUGAAUGCUUGCGCCAACUAUCAUAAUACUCAAAUAGCAUUGGAAAAAGUCAGUCAAAUGAGGCAGUUAUUCAUUGAAAAAGCAGUGCCAUUGACUGCUGUACAUUAUAAUGUCAUGAUAAAGGUGUAUGGCCGCCAUGGCAAGCUUGCCGAAGCUUUUGAAUUGGCUGAUGAGAUGUACGACAAGAAACUGACAAUUGGAAUUAGUACUCUUAAUUUUCUUCUGCAAGGAACUAUUACUGAUAAACAGUCUGGAUUUCGACAUUCGAUUGUAAUUUGGCAGUUAAUGCGAUCUCGCAGGCUGAAGCCCAAUAUAUAUACUUACAAUCUUCUUCUCAGAUCAGCUAGAGAUUGCAAACUUGGAGACAUGAAGAUUGAAGAUAUCCUAGUGUCCCCAAAUCUGAAUAAAAUAACACCUGUGGUUACGUAUUCAGAUAGAACAAACUUACUAGUUUACCCACCCGUAGUUGGUGUAGAAAUCCCACUCAUUAAAGACUCAGAACCUCUUAAAGAAAUAGCGGAAAACGAUGAUUCUUCAGAAGUUAGACCAGAAUCUCCAGAGUCAGUUACUAUCCCCAAAAAUGAUAGUGUGAUACAACCAGCCAUUGCAGACACCAAUGCUACUUUACCACUUGCAAAUAUAACGAGUGCCUCGCCAGAAGGAAAUUUACUUUUGUUAGGUGGCUUCCAUAAUCUCAUAACUCAAAUGAAAAUUGAUAACGUGGAACCUGACAUUAAAACUGUAACAUGCUUGUUAGAACUUGUACCUUCUACGGUAUCAGCUGAAAAAGCUGUGAUCAAAUAUGCAAAGUCAAUGGGAAUCAAGUUGGACAUUGAUUUUUAUAACUUACUGAUAAGGAAAAGAAGCUUCAAAUUUGACUACAAGAAUGCCUUGGAUGUGCUGAAGUUGAUACAAAAAGAUAAUCUAGUACCAAACAUCAUGACUUGGGGUGUGUUAGCAUUAACGUGCCGCAGUGCAGCACAAGCCAAAGAAUUAUUCGAGGGCAUGGAGCUGAGUGGUCAUAGAUUGAAUAUAGAAAUUAUCGGAGCUAUUCUAGGCCAAGCUACCCGCCGGUGGCUCUUCGGGCUUGUGCUAGAAUUGAUGGAAAAGAUGCGAACUCUAAACUUGAGCCCUGACCAUAGAAUAUAUGAAACGUUGGACACAUUUAAAAGGCACGCUGCUCAAAAAGCUAAGGAUAAGAAUGCCAAAGAUUUUACAAGCGAACCUUUCUGGGCCAAUGGGUACCGCAAGUUUAACCUGAGAUAUGCUUCAUGGAUACAGGAAAUGAAAGAUUUAGAAGAUUCAAGAAGAAAACGAAUGUGAACUCUCAUUCCUUCUAUUUUCACUUUUCACACAUCCAACGGUUUCCAAUGCGACAAAAUCAUCAACGUGAAGAGAAGGUGGACGCGAAGUAUUGGGUGGCCUGGAACGGAAAGGAUCCGCACCUCGCCCCACUCCACCAGCUGCAGAGCUGCCUCUCAUAGAGUUGGCAAAUUGACCUCUGCCUCGCAUCGGUGUCACUGGAGACCAAAGAAAAAAUUCAAGAUUAGUGACAGAGUCAAAUUACGAGUAAUGUGCAAUGAGUAGAUUGAUUCCGGACUGAGGGAAACUAGAGAUUCAGAGGGUGGGGAAGAGGGUCGCUUGACUACUUUCACCACUGCAUUCACAGGAUGUUCAUCCCAUUGUUCUGCUGGAGGGUUUACCACAGCUUCUGGAGCUACUGAUCUUGAUGGUUCAACCGUUUGAAUUGGCUGUACAGGUGGAGAUGGGGUUGCGGCCACGCAAGUUUCCUAGUGAUACAUUCAAUUCAAUGACAGCACGAUCAACAGUUGUGUGAGAAGUCCUUAUGAACUACAGCUCAUGAACAAACAAAAGUUUCUCACCCAAGACGAACACCUCCUGGGAAAUCCGCUUGUACACGAGCUCCCAGUGGGAUUAUUCGGACCUCGCUUAUGAACACAGGCUUGGGAAAUUGCACCAGAUCCAAGUUGAGUUCCUGAAAUGAAGGAUUUUUCAAUUGUAUGAGAAUGACAGUUGACCUUUGAAUAUAAGGGUAUGCUGAGCAUGUACGCAUAACCUGCAUUUACCUCGGAAAUAUCAUGGGAAAAAGUAUCAAAGAAUAGUAGCUCUAUGUUUUCCAUAUUUUAUUUUCACGUUAAAAAGAGAUUAUCAUGAAUAGUAAAUUGUUGAAAGACGCCUAUCGCACACCAAUGAUAUUUAUUGUGGAAUGCCGGAGAUCUUGAAUUCAAGUUGCAGUGAGUAAUAUCAAUUGUCACUCGUCAACAAUUAUUAGGUAUUAAAAAUUACAGAUAAUUGCACUUGUAGAGUGAAAAGCCUCGUGAGUUACUGAUCCAUAAAUCUCAUUGAGAACAACAAACUAAAAUCCAUCCUACAAAUUUAUUUAUUUAUUGAUUUGAUGAGGCAAAUGAUUAAAAUUUCCCCCAACAAUGUGUAUAAAUAUCCAACCGCGAUUGCGCAUUAAUGAUUAGACCCUGAGCAUGGAUCGAACUUCCGGAAACGAAAUAUCUAUACUUUCAUACUCAUCAUUUUGACGUAGAAAUUUUGUAUUAAAUAAUUUAAUUCGGCUUAAGGCUCUUAUAUUACUGAAAUUGCAGACGGGAUACACUACUAGUUUGAGUCGUGUACCUUGUGGUGUGUACUUUUCUCUUUUUCAACAGUUUGGCAUCGUCCGUUGAUAAGUUAGCACUUUUUAUUUCGUUGGCAUCACGAUCACUAUGAUGGUCUUGUGAUCGAGCAGCUGAGCACCGAUAAUAUAGCUGGAACUUAGAGGUUUGUCUUGGCUGGAUAGCAUCGUCGCGCACCAGCUAAACCUCUGUUUUCGGUGUAUUUUUGAAAAAAAUUUAGCAGUCAGUGAAAACUAACAAU
Molecule: RNA transcript, 3662 nt
Organism: Athalia rosae (coleseed sawfly)
Lineage: Eukaryota; Metazoa; Arthropoda; Insecta; Hymenoptera; Athaliidae
Gene name: pentatricopeptide repeat-containing protein 1, mitochondrial
Exons: 6
Source: RefSeq, a predicted model, not a curated record